AGUCGAUGGGUAGGUAGGAGUCAAUGGGUUGGAUAAAUCGGUGGAAAUUAUGUGUAAGUUCUCGGAGCAGUACGCACACCGGCCCAACACCUUCUUCCACCACUCCAUGGCGAUUGUUGGGUCGCUGGACAUGAAGCAAAGGACGUGACCAUGGAAGCCAUGCCACAAGCUGCUGAGCAUCGGACCAAGGUGAUUCCGCUCAACGUCAAUCAUGUAUCUAGUAAAGAUAGGGGCGAGAUAGAUGCAUGUGGCCCUGAUGCAGCAGGCGGGAAGGGGAGAAGUGGAGCUGGUCGAUGGCCAGGAGGACAUGAUCCUUGAUGUCAUGGUGCCUUUUAUAAUCUGGGCAGUUUGGAUAUGUGUUGAGCAAGUGUAGUAGUAGCGUCCUCUUUAAGGUGAUUUGCAUGUAUAGCUAGACGAUGGUAGCUAGAUGAGUGUGUAGUUCUUCCUGAUGUUAGCUAGCUGAUG
Long non-coding RNA from Lolium rigidum, 465 nucleotides. RefSeq lists it as uncharacterized. The record is from RefSeq and is a predicted model, not a curated record. The transcript is spliced from 4 exons. Lineage: Eukaryota; Viridiplantae; Streptophyta; Magnoliopsida; Poales; Poaceae.